UUCCUUUGGUCUCCCUUCUUAGGUAUGCCCUGCCCCAUGAAAAACUUAAAUGGCCGCAUAUGUGCUAAGGUAGCAAAAUCAAUUGCCGCUUAAUUAGUGGCUAGUAUGAAUGGGUUCACAAAAAGAUAGCUGUCUCUACCAAACCCAUAUAAACUAACCUUCAAGUGAAAAGGCUUGAAUCAACACAAAAGACAAAAAGACCCUGUCGCGCUUAAGGGACCUAAAAUAUUAAUAUAUAUGUAAUCCCUUUAGUUGGGACGACUUCUGCUAAACCAAAACACCAGUUUCUUUUCAAGAACUAGAAUUCUCUAACUCUGACCCUAAUAAGAUCAGGCAAUUAGCAACCGCAGGGAUAACAGACUAAUUUUCUUACUAGAGCCCAUAUCGACUAAGAAGGUUGGCACCUCGAUGUUGGCUUAGGGGAGCAGCUAGAUGCAGCAAUCUAGCCUGGAGGUUUGUUCAACCUAUAAAUCCCU
Molecule: ribosomal RNA, 476 nt
Filed under: Anelassorhynchus sp. RG-2015-13
Lineage: Eukaryota; Metazoa; Annelida; Polychaeta; Echiuroidea; Thalassematidae
Description: partial 16S rRNA
Rfam family: Bacterial large subunit ribosomal RNA
Source: RNAcentral